UACGUAGGGGGCAAGCGUUGUCCGGAAUCAUUGGGCGUAAAGAGCGCGUAGGCGGCCCUGUAAGUCCGCUGUGAAAGUCAAGGGCUCAACCCUUGGAUGCCGGUGGAUACUGCAGGGCUAGAGUCCGGAAGAGGCGAGUGGAAUUCCCGGUGUAGCGGUGAAAUGCGCAGAUAUCGGGAAGAACACCCGUGGCUAAGGCGGCUCUCUAGUACGGUACUGACGCUGAGACGCGAAAGCGUGGGGAGCGAACAGG
This 253-nucleotide ribosomal RNA is filed under the name uncultured bacterium. RNAcentral's name for it is "partial 16S ribosomal RNA". It matches the Rfam family "Bacterial small subunit ribosomal RNA", at positions 524 to 776 of the family's 1533-position model. The record is from RNAcentral.